UACGGAGGGUGCGAGCGUUGUCCGGAAUCACUGGGCGUAAAGGGCGCGUAGGCGGCGCGAGUAGUCAACGGUGAAAGCCCGGGGCUCAACCCCGGGUCGGCCGUCGAUACUCUCGUGCUUGAGCACUGUAGAGGCAGGUGGAAUUCCGCGUGUAGCAGUGAAAUGCGUAGGGAUGCGGAGGAACACCGAUGGCGAAGGCAGCCCCCUGGGCUGACACUGACGCUCAGGCACGAAAGCGUGGGGAGCAAACAGG
RNAcentral lists this ribosomal RNA (253 nucleotides) under uncultured bacterium. Its description in RNAcentral is "partial 16S ribosomal RNA". It matches the Rfam family "Bacterial small subunit ribosomal RNA", at positions 524 to 776 of the family's 1533-position model. The record is from RNAcentral.